GCCGGCGCGGUGGCGCACGCCUGUAGUUCCAGCUACUCCGGAGGCUGAGACUGGAGGAUCGCUUGAGUCCAGGAGUUUGGGACUGUAUUGCGCUAUGCUGAUUGGGUGUCUGCACUAAGAUCGGCAUCAAUAUGGUGACCUCCCGGAAGCAGGGGACCACCAGGUUGCCUAAGGAGGGGUGAACCGGCCCAGGUCGGAAACGGAGCAGGUCAAAAAUUUUAGGGGGGGCUUAAACAUUCAUUGUAAAGCAUACAGUGUGCUUACACUUUCAAAAGGUUAUUUUGAUCCAGCAAAUAAUGUACUCAUGAGUUUAA
Molecule: signal recognition particle RNA, 314 nt
Filed under: Mus caroli (Ryukyu mouse)
Lineage: Eukaryota; Metazoa; Chordata; Mammalia; Rodentia; Muridae
Description: predicted gene, 23153 (MGP_CAROLIEiJ_G0008448.1)
Rfam family: Metazoan signal recognition particle RNA
About the family: The signal recognition particle (SRP) is a universally conserved ribonucleoprotein.
Source: RNAcentral